This 57-nucleotide ribosomal RNA is filed under the name Byblis liniflora. RNAcentral describes it as "partial 18S ribosomal RNA". Lineage: Eukaryota; Viridiplantae; Streptophyta; Magnoliopsida; Lamiales; Byblidaceae. The record is from RNAcentral.
CUUAGAGGAAGGAGAAGUCGUAACAAGGUUUCUGUAGGUGACCUGCGGAGGAUCAUU